Molecule: ribosomal RNA, 301 nt
Filed under: uncultured bacterium
Lineage: Bacteria
Description: partial 16S ribosomal RNA
Rfam family: Bacterial small subunit ribosomal RNA
Source: RNAcentral
CAGUAGCCGCGGGAAUACGUAGGUGGCAAGCGUUGUCCGGAAUUAUUGGGCGUAAAGCGCGCGCAGGCGGCCUAUCCAGUCUGUCUUAAAAGUUCGGGGCUCAACCCCGUGAUGGGAUGGAAACUAGUAGGCUAGAGUAUCGGAGAGGAAAGCGGAAUUCCUAGUGUAGCGGUGAAAUGCGUAGAUAUUAGGAAGAACACCAGUGGCGAAGGCGACUUUCUGGACGAAAACUGACGCUGAGGCGCGAAAGCCAGGGGAGCGAACGGGAUUAGAUACCCCCGUAGUCCCUGUCUCUUAUACA